CUUUUAAUGAGAGUUUGAUCCUGGCUCAGGACGAACGCUGGCGGCGUGCCUAAUA
Molecule: ribosomal RNA, 55 nt
Filed under: Streptococcus agalactiae BSU248
Lineage: Bacteria; Bacillati; Bacillota; Bacilli; Lactobacillales; Streptococcaceae
Also listed under: 1 other name
Description: partial 16S ribosomal RNA
Source: RNAcentral